Molecule: small nucleolar RNA, 133 nt
Filed under: Saimiri boliviensis boliviensis (Bolivian squirrel monkey)
Lineage: Eukaryota; Metazoa; Chordata; Mammalia; Primates; Cebidae
Description: Small nucleolar RNA SNORA72 (ENSSBOG00000006079.1)
Rfam family: Small nucleolar RNA SNORA72
About the family: U72 is a member of the H/ACA class of snoRNAs. The snoRNA gene is located in intron 4 of the ribosomal L30 protein gene in human, mouse and chicken.
Source: Rfam by way of RNAcentral
CUGUGAAUAUUCUCAAUGUUCUGAUUUUGUAAUAGUCAGAAAAGGUUAAACAUUUCCUAUAUUAAGACCAUUGCAUAUGUACCCAGAUGUAGCCUGUUCCUUAGGUCUUGUCUUAUAAAUGCUGGUGACAAAC